RNAcentral lists this long non-coding RNA (906 nucleotides) under Vitis vinifera (wine grape). RNAcentral describes it as "long non-coding RNA (VVIN_LNC008072)". Lineage: Eukaryota; Viridiplantae; Streptophyta; Magnoliopsida; Vitales; Vitaceae. The record is from RNAcentral.
GAGUGUUUAAUUGAACAAUGAUUCAAAAAUUCAAUUUAAAACAGUAAGUUCUCAAUCAAAGAAGCAAAUAGAGGAGAAGGUGCGUGGCAAGGUGGUCACUAUGUGAGUGAGGUUUGGAGGUGCACUUGAGACCGCAUUGCUGAAACAGAUUCGUGAGAAGACCUCUGCAAACCACUGGUGUUAUUCUCUCUGGAUUUUCUCCUUCUUCCUUCUUGUGUUUUCUUUCUUUGUCCCAUAUUGGUCUAUGAGCUGUGCUUGAUAUUCUAGGGCCCCCUCCAUACCCUGGGCUCUUCCAUUUGAUGAGUCCGAGUCAUCUUCAGAUUGGAUAACCACGAUCUUCGUCAUAUAUCCUAAGCCCCUUGGUUUGCUAGUUGGUUGAGUUUCCUUGAAUCCCAAAUACUUCAAUAUUCCUCCCUGAGUGCAAUUUCUUGAUCGUUUCCUUGAUUAGUACUGAUUCUUGGACUGAUCUAACCAGGGAUCCUUGGAGAAUUCACAGAUUGAAGGAGCAGAAAAAAAAUAAAAAAAAAAUGAAGAGAAAAUCCAUCAUGAAGACCUUGUCGUUUGCAAUUGCACCAACAUUUUCUAAAGCGAAGCCCAUAGGCAACUGAUCUUUUCCCAGAACACAGUAAGCAUUAUCCCAUGACUAGACUGAACUAGUUCCUUUCAUUAUUUUGGAGUAGCCGAAUCUAUUGAGAACAAUCAAGUCCCCACUUUGAAAUGAUAGUCAGCACUUAGCAGCAUAUGAAUAAACGUUGAGAGGUUUUUCAAUAUUUCACAAAAAUUCUCUUCUCGCAUUUUAUUAGUUUCCUGUGAUUCAAGCUGGACAUCGACAACCUACUCAAAGUGAAUAUCAGGAUUUUCUAGGUAUGACAGUCCUUGUUCUUCUAUUUGGAUCUCAUUAUGAAG